GUAUGGCCUCAUAUUUGCAGAUAUUGGUGCUCAAAAGAGUUCAAGCAAGCAAGGUCUAGAGGGCAGGCUUCUCGCUUAAAAUCUCUAGAUGUUGCUCAAAUCGUGGAGGUUCACGACCGUUCACAGAAACAAGGCAGUAUUUGGAACAUAAAUUUGGACCUGAGAAGGCUACCAUAAUGAACACAUAUGCUGCAAUGAAAUCUGGUAUCAAAAAUUUGGAUGAAAGUGGCUGUAGCGGUGCAAUCAGCAGCCAGAAAGCACAAAAACGCCUUGAUGCAUAUUGCAAUGGUCUUAAGAAAGCACAUCCAGAGGAUUGGCAAGACAUUGAUUUGGAUGAAAGUGUCUUGUACAACACAUCGGGUGGCAUGCCACAUGGCCGCCUAUAAAUUGCUACUGGUGCCGUCAAGAAAGCCCACAUUAUCUCUGCUGCAAAGGCAACAAAUCUGAAGCCCUCAAGUUCUGUUGCUUACCGUAAUGUCAUCCAAGA
Molecule: non-coding RNA, 487 nt
Organism: Lolium perenne
Lineage: Eukaryota; Viridiplantae; Streptophyta; Magnoliopsida; Poales; Poaceae
Source: RefSeq, a predicted model, not a curated record